Molecule: ribosomal RNA, 274 nt
Filed under: uncultured bacterium
Lineage: Bacteria
Description: partial 16S ribosomal RNA
Rfam family: Bacterial small subunit ribosomal RNA
Source: RNAcentral
AUACGGAGGGGGCUAGCGUUGUUCGGAAUUACUGGGCGUAAAGCGCGCGUAGGCGGGUUGGCAAGUUGAAGGUGAAAUCCCAGGGCUCAACCCUGGAACUGCCUCCAAAACUGCCAGUCUUGAGUUCGGAAGAGGUGAGUGGAAUUCCUAGUGUAGAGGUGAAAUUCGUAGAUAUUAGGAAGAACACCAGUGGCGAAGGCGACUCACUGGUCCGGUACUGACGCUGAGGCGCGAAAGCGUGGGGAGCAAACAGGAUUAGAAACCCCAGUAGUCC